This 500-nucleotide long non-coding RNA is filed under the name Sphaeramia orbicularis (orbiculate cardinalfish). RNAcentral's name for it is "lncRNA (ENSSORG00005014828.1)". The record is from RNAcentral. Lineage: Eukaryota; Metazoa; Chordata; Actinopteri; Kurtiformes; Apogonidae.
AGCCGAGGCGGUGGCCACGGUGGUGGCUGCCGUUGACCUGGCACGGGUCCGAGGGCCAGUGGUGCAUGUUGAAGGGGGCGGAGCCAAAGAGCAGGAGGUGGAGUUAAGGUCAUUUGGAGGCGGGUCGCAGGCUGGAGUACAGAUCAUAACCACUGCUCAGGAGUUGAAAACCAGUGAAACCAGUGAAACCAGUGAAAGGCUUCUGCAGAUGAACAGACAGAUCCACAUUCAGAAAACCUCCUCCCAUGUGGACUCUGGUCCUGGUCCAUCUCCACUUCCACAGUUUACAGUUUCUAAAGUUUCUAUCCCAAAGCCUGAUUCUGGUGGCGAGGUUUCCAUUGCCGGCUCGGCGUUCGCCACUCUGCAUAAAGAGUUAUCGUCCUCCGCCGCUGCCGCUCGGAUGAUCAUCAAACCCGUCAAGUCUCCGAGUCCGGCUCGUUCGGCGGCGGAGGUGCGACGGACCCCGGAGCCGGUGCUGCCACCGUUCAGAGACUCUGUGG